This 460-nucleotide ribosomal RNA is filed under the name uncultured bacterium. RNAcentral describes it as "partial 16S ribosomal RNA". It matches the Rfam family "Bacterial small subunit ribosomal RNA", at positions 338 to 795 of the family's 1533-position model. The record is from RNAcentral.
CCUACGGGAGGCAGCAGUGAGGAAUAUUGGUCAAUGGACGUAAGGCUGAACCAGCCAAGUAGCGUGAAGGAAGAAGGAUCUAUGGUUUGUAAACUUCUUUUAUAGGGGAAUAAAGGUAUCCACGUGUGGCUAUUUGCAUGUACUAUAUGAAUAAGCAUCGGCUAACUCCGUGCCAGCAGCCGCGGUAAUACGGAGGAUGCGAGCGUUAUCCGGAUUUAUUGGGUUUAAAGGGUGCGUAGGUGGUUUUUUAAGUCAGCGGUGAAAGUUUGUGGCUCAACCAUAAAAUUGCCGUUGAAACUGGAAGACUUGAGUGUGUUUGAGGUAGGCGGAAUGCGUGGUGUAGCGGUGAAAUGCAUAGAUAUCACGCAGAACUCCGAUUGCGAAGGCAGCUUACUAAGCCAUAACUGACACUGAAGCACGAAAGCGUGGGGAUCAAACAGGAUUAGAUACCCGUGUAGUC